Long non-coding RNA from Equus asinus (donkey), 4073 nucleotides. The record is from Ensembl. Lineage: Eukaryota; Metazoa; Chordata; Mammalia; Perissodactyla; Equidae.
CUGCAAACCAGGAAGAGGGCUCUCAUCAGACACUCAAUCUGUUAGCACCUUGAUUGUUGACUUCCCAGUCUCCAGAACUGUGGCACCUUGUUUCUUCCCUGCCAUGAAAUCUCCAUUGGUCUUGUGAAUGGUGAUUUGGAUUCAAAUGCUGGAAGCUGGAGAAAGAGGCCAAGGCAGGAGCAGCUAAAUCAGAUCUCCACUCCAACUACCCUCUUUUCAAAAGACAGACAGUUGCCAUGAUUGUCAAAUUUGGUGUAGAGGCUCCUUCUACAAGAGGUUGUCUUCAUUUAUGACCUUCGUUCAUUCAACACACUCAUUUUUGAUAACUUGUGUGCUAAGCUUUGUGUGAAGAGCACAAAUAAAAUGCUACCGGGGCACAGAGGAGCUUUAUUCUGCUGGGAGACUAGAACUGGGCACCACUACCCACAGGAAACAACAUAUGAAGCGUAUCCAGACUGUGGUAUGUCACUAUGGUAACUAUAGUCUCAACUGUCAAAGAACAAAGGUUAGUCCUUCCUGGUGAAUGUGACCCAUCCUGCAGCAGAGCUCAACUUUGAGUUCCCAAGGAAGAGCAAACAUACCCAUUAUGCAGUGCCACGUUUUGGAGGUUUUUGGAUGCAGGUUUUUGCAAAUUCUAUUCUUAAGUUUUCAAGUGCUGGCUGAUAUGUCUACUCACAUGAUUCCCAGCUGAGUGAUGCUUGUCCCACAGACACUCAAUGUUGAAUAAUGGUUUUUGGAAGCUGUGGACUCAAGUUCCUUCUCAAGUGACGAAGCUGGGUAAAGGAUCUCCUUUGUAAGCUGCUUGAAGAAGGUUUGCUGGAGCCGUGUGAAAGUGCUUACUGUCUAGAAGACAGAGCUAUUUUUAGCUUGAAGCCUUUGUUUAGGGAGCAACUUUUGAAGUCGAUGAUGAUGCCAGAUUUGGAAGAAUUUUGGAGGCCUGUGUUUGGGGAGCAGCGCAGAUGAGAAUCAGAUUGGAUCUGCAGACGGUGGGACGUUACAAAUAUGUAUUGAGCACACGUUAUAUAGAAGGACGACGAGACAGUGGAAUCCUGUGACAAAUCACUCCUUUUAAAGAGAAAUAUAAAUACAAUCUCGGCUUCCUCAUCUGUGAAGUGAGUGGACCAGUUCAUUACUCCCUGCAUAUGCGAUGAUUUCACAAUGACAAAACUAAAAAAGGCGAUUGAAAUUCUACUGAACAGAAAGACCUCCCUGCCGUAUUACCGACAGUCUGUCAGGGGUUGCCUCAGGGCCAGAAGUUGAGAAGCACUAACUCCAAAGAGAUGUGUAUAAAAUGUGGCUACUACCCAGAAACACCAAAUGGAGAGGAGUGAUUCUUAAUGCUAAAAGAUCAGUAAAAUCACUUUUCCUUUGAUUCAGAAAAUAGGGCUGUCAGUUUGAUAGGUGAAAAUAUAUAUUUGAAAUCUGACAAAAUGCCAACAUAUGACAUCAAAUUGUAGGCCAGGAACACUCCUGCCGAGUGGAUCCUCCAGUGACACGUUAGGAAUGCAUUUGCUGGGACAGCAUUCCACACAACACAGAUCCCUCAACGUGAUUAAUUGCCUGAUGUGUCUGCUUUGUGCUUUGAACUUGAAAAUCCCAAUGUAAAGACAAAGUAUAUCAUGACAGGGAUGGUGGUGAGGAUGCUAAUGACAGGAUGAUAGAUAAUAACCAUAGUGAAAUGUGACUUUAAGCACUUUAACAGAACUCAACAUUUUUUUUUUCUUCUUUUUGACACAAGGAAAUAGUGUUUGAAUCCACGCAGGAAUUCACUAGGUUUGCGUCCAAUAUGGCAUAUUGCUUUGCUCCCAUUCAUAAUGAUUUUCAGCUUUUCACACGCAGUACAUGAAUUAUUGUUUCCCAGCUCUACAUCUGUUUCCCUAUCUCUUUGGCUGCCAUUAACAACUAAAGAAAAGAAUCUAUAAAACUAUAUAGCCUAUAGUUACCUCUAAGCAGAUUUAAUUGGCUACACCUCGAAAGGAGUUCCUUCUCUUGAAUAUAUUGUGCAACCAAAUGCUUUGCACCCCUCCCCCUGACUUCCAAUCAAUUUAGGGCCUAAGGCUGGUGUAAUCCAUUGUUGACAGAUAUGUUUAAUGAACCUGGCUUUGAGCAUUCAUAGCUGAGGGACUGCGGAUUAGGUUUUAUCUUAUUUCACAUCUUGAUUAAUAAUCUGGGAGGAGGCUUCAACAUGCUAAUGGAAUGAAAUUUGCAAUGUGAAGGAAGCUGGGAGACACUGCAAAGAGAGAGGGCAGCUUAGAAAGGCCAGUGUGGGGAGGGCAGGUGGGGAGGCCUUGCAUGGGCUGGCCCUUUAGCACUACUCUGCAGAGAGGCCCUCUAUGGAGGACGGGUGUGGAGAGAGCCAGAGAGCCAGACCCUUUCCUGGGGUUGUCACGCUGGAUCUGAAGGGCUGCAGCUUGCGUGGCUGCCCAGCACAGAGCUCUUUUGCAAUGUGUUACUCACUGUUAGUUCAUGCCAAAUUUGGGAAAAUAAUAAGAAACAUAGGCUUUCCACAUUAAGGAGGAAACCAGAAUGUAGCAGUGCUCAAAGAGACCCGGAGGCAGCACUUCCUUAUGGGGUGGGCUGUUGGGAAGUGUUUCAUGAACAGGCUUCACCGUGCACACACAUGGAAACCUCUUGCUUUGGCCACCUGAAUUAAUUCCCCUUACCUUUCAAACUGCUUCUAGACCUGUUCCUCUGCUGGAGGAGAAAUGCAACCUAAUUCUUCCUCCAAUUGUAAGCACUUUCCAAUGAUCUGAAAAGCUGGAUCUCUGUAUUAGGAAAAUCUUACUUGAUGUUCUCUCUGGUCCAUGAACCCAUUUUCACUGAAUUAGCAGAGUCUGGGUACUCUGACUUGCCUUCCUUUGGGGAUAUAAAUGCUUUUCUCAUGUUAAUUAAACAUGGAGGCCAUUAGACCGAGGUGGCUCUAACGCCCUGGUGGCCUAUCUAAGCAAACCAAAAUUUAAGCCUGUAAAUGCCUCAAGGUUACAAAAUCAAACCUCUAAGGACAAUUAAUCACAGCCAGCUAGGCUUUAAGCAAUUGCCAAUCAAAUAAAUUCCUUUCUUUGCUUCUCCACGUUGUUGAUAUGAGGUUUUCCCCUGAAUCCUGUGGGCAAAAUGCUCCUAACCAUUUCUGGUUUGGCACUGCCCAAUUCCAAUCAACUUUUGCUCAAAUAACUCUUAAAAUUUUUAAAAUGCCUCAGUUUAUCUUUUUGUGUGUGUGUGAGGAAAAUCAGCCCUGAGCUAACAUACAUUGCCAAUCUUCUUCUUUUUGCUUGAGAAAGAUUGUCCUUGAGCUAACAUCUGUGCCAAUCUUGCUCUAUUUUGUAUGUGGGAUGCCACCACAGCAUGGCUUGAUGAGCGGUAUGUAGGUCCGCACCAGAUCCAAACAGACGAACUCUGGGCCACCAAAGCAAAGCGCGCUAACUUAACUACUACACCACCAGGCUGGCCCCUCAGUUUAUCUUUUAACACUCACAAGAUGUGAGUUUCCCCAUGGUCUUGAUUUGUGUGAGGAGGAUUGGUGAAUGGGUAUCAAAGGAAAAUGAGACUAGAGGGCAUAUGGGCAGCUAAUAUAUUGUGUCACUUUGCCUGUUGCUUUCCAGUGAUGACUUUCAAGAAAUAAUAAAUUGUAAUUUUAGAGCAGGAAAGGAAAUUUGAGAUGGAGUCAAAAGUCCUUCUUUUACAAAGAGGGUACCUGAGGCACGCAGAGGAGACUUGACCAAAGUUGCCAGGAUUGAAAUGAGUGGAGCUGGAAUAAAUCCUUCCCUGAAGGGGAUUGCAACUGAGAAUGAUUCUACGAUUAACAAACGUCUCUGAGCAAGUUGACUUGGGUGGAGACGAAUCACUGCUCUUUGCAUCACUGGGACUUCCUCCAAAACAUCUUCUCUGGGUCUGGCCCCGUGGCCGAGUGGUUGGGUUCGCGCGCUCCGCUGCAGGCGGCCCAGUGAUUUGUCGGUUCGAGUCCUGGGCGCGGACAUGGCACUGCUCAUCAAGCCACGCUGAGGCAGCGUCCCACAUGCCGCAACUACAAGGACCCACAACGAAGAUUAUACAACUGUGUACUGGGGGGCUUUGGG